Molecule: long non-coding RNA, 645 nt
Filed under: Oncorhynchus kisutch (coho salmon)
Lineage: Eukaryota; Metazoa; Chordata; Actinopteri; Salmoniformes; Salmonidae
Description: lncRNA (ENSOKIG00005002134.1)
Source: RNAcentral
GUAAAAUAAUUAAUUACGGUCAUGUCAAUCAUGUUAUAUACUUGGGAUACUGUACCGCGUUCAACCAGUUAGCAAGUCAGAAAUGUCAGUUUCCUAGUACCGACUAGCACUUGAAUGCAGUAUUAUGCUGGCUUGACAUUCUCGUGGGAAAUGGGAAGUUGUAACUCCAACGUGAUUGUGUUCAAGUGCUUUUGAAGUCGGAACAAUUCUUAAACCUUUAAGAUUAGAAAAUGAUGUUGCCAAUUUCCCACUUGGAGGGUCAUUCAAGUGAAAACGUCCCAGUCGGAACGAGGAAUUUCCGAGAACUCCGACUUGUCCAGCCUUCAUACCCAUUCACGACCACCGCGGACUCCAAAUAAAGACCCUUCACACCUACCACCCUUCUAUUCAGACCACUCAGACCUACGGCUGACACCUUUAGUCUCUCUUGCUCUCUCUCUCCAUCCUCUUGAUCCAUCCUCUGGCUGCAUUUUAUACAACUUGAAAGCAGCCUCUGAGCGGUCUCUCCUCAGGUCCACGUCUCUCAGACCAACACUCUGCAGAAUCACAGAGGACAGACAAGAAAGGCCCUGGCCCUUUUCUGCAGCUGCUGCUGGGAGGGAGAGAAAAGAAAGAGAGAAAAAAAUAGACAUUUACUGCAUUAAC